CCACGAAAGUUAAACUUUUCUUAGUACGAAAGGACCAGAAAAGUAGUACCAAUUUUUUCCCCCCGGUACUAAAAAAAC
RNAcentral lists this ribosomal RNA (78 nucleotides) under Pisaster ochraceus (purple sea star). RNAcentral's name for it is "partial 16S ribosomal RNA". The record is from RNAcentral. Lineage: Eukaryota; Metazoa; Echinodermata; Asteroidea; Forcipulatida; Asteriidae.